AUUUCGUACGGCCAGGCUUUAUGGCUGGUGGGCUCUCCCUUUGUUUAACAUUUCUUCUUUUUUCUUAUUGAGGAAAGAGAUUAAUAGUCUUUCCCCUAAUGAUAUGGUGAGAUGCAUAUUGGAUUAACAUUAAGUUCCUAGCAAUUCCAAAAUAAAUAAUCAUCCUUUCCACCCUCAACACUUUCUUACUCUUCUGCCUAAAUCUCCUUACAAGGGUAGAUGGAAGUGGAUGUGUGGUUUUUGUGGCAGGGAGUCUACGGGAUUCGCUUAUUAUUGUCUACUCUGUAGUCUAUAAAGCAAUUUGGGAUGGAAAAAGUAUCCCGGAAGACUAUGCUGAGAGGUCCAUGGAAGCUCUUGAUGAAUCUAUAAAUUGGAUUACCGAUGUUGUUGAAGAAAUGAGUUUUGGAGAGAAUACGGUAGCAGUUGAGAUCAAACAUGCCUACCAUGAUCACAAUUUAGGACUCACUUUUAGCGGGGAGAUGAAUGAUGAUGGCCAAUGUGAUGGGCGCAUGAGGCCUAUCUCAACUCCUUUUUAUAGUUGUGAGCAAUGCAAGUUUUUUCUCCAUAAAGAAUGCGCUGAACUGUGGAGAAAAAUACGACACCCAUUUCACUUGCUUACACUCACAAAUUCAUACACAAUUCUUUCUUCAAGAUGUAGUGGUUGCCGAAGACUUCACCAUGGAUUUAGCUACAAAUGCAAUGAUAAAGGUUGCAAAUUUGAAUGAGACAUUCGAUAUAUUUUAUUAUUAGACACUUUGGAGCGUCCAAGUCAUGAGCAUUCCUUGUUCCUUGUCCACAACUUUUCAGCGAAUUGCAAUGCUUGUUAUAUAAAAAGAGACCCAUGGAACAUGGCAAAUAGAUGCACAAAGCGCUGUGAUUUCACUUUAGAUCUAGAAUGUGCCAUAGUACCACUCACAGCUUGGUACAAGCAUGAUAGACAUCCUGUUACUUUAACCUGUUUUGAUGAUUCUGAUCCUUCUCAACAUUAUUAUGAUUUGUAUGAGUAUGAAAGGCACCCAAAUUAUUGGUUUUAUUACUGUGUUAAAUGUAAUAACUCUCUCCAUUUUGGAUGUGCUUUUGGGGAGUGCCCAUUUCUAAAACUUUGGAAGCAACCUUGAUGUGGGUUUUUAUCAUGAACACCCACAUCGGCUUAGUAUUGUGAAAAACAUAUGGGAUUGCUCUCUAUGUAAAGAGUGUGGUAAGAUUUACAAUGAACAAGCUCUCCAAUGUAACGAAUCUGAAUGUAACUUUAGCGUCCACUUGAACUGCUUUUAUGAUAUAGCACUGCCCACCAUGUUGACUGAAUCAUUUUAAUGAUAUUCCAAGCUCGCGUUUGUGAAAUAGACAA
This is a long non-coding RNA of Gossypium arboreum, 1348 nucleotides long. RefSeq lists it as uncharacterized. Lineage: Eukaryota; Viridiplantae; Streptophyta; Magnoliopsida; Malvales; Malvaceae. The transcript has 2 exons. The record is from RefSeq and is a predicted model, not a curated record.